UACAGAGGUGGCAAGCGUUGUUCGGAAUUACUGGGCGUAAAGGGCGCGUAGGCGGCCUUCUAAGUCGAACGUGAAAUCCCCGGGCUCAACCCGGGAACUGCGUCCGAGACUGGAAGGCUCGAAUCCGGGAGAGGGAUGUGGAAUUCCAGGUGUAGCGGUGAAAUGCGUAGAUAUCUGGAGGAACACCGGUGGCGAAGGCGGCAUCCUGGACCGAGAUUGACGCUGAGGCGCGAAAGCCAGGGGAGCAAACGGG
RNAcentral lists this ribosomal RNA (253 nucleotides) under uncultured bacterium. RNAcentral's name for it is "partial 16S ribosomal RNA". It matches the Rfam family "Bacterial small subunit ribosomal RNA", at positions 524 to 776 of the family's 1533-position model. The record is from RNAcentral.